Molecule: ribosomal RNA, 513 nt
Filed under: uncultured bacterium
Lineage: Bacteria
Description: partial 16S ribosomal RNA
Rfam family: Bacterial small subunit ribosomal RNA
Source: RNAcentral
GACGAACGCUGGCGGCAUGCCUAAUACAUGCAGGUCGAGCGAACAGAUGAAGUGCUUGCACUUCUGACGUUAGCGGCGAACGGGUGAGUAACACGUAAGGAAUCUGCCUAUAAGCGGGGGAUAACAUUCGGAAACGGGUGCUAAUACCGCAUAAUAUCUUCUUCCGCAUGGAAGAAGAUUGAAAGACGGCUCUGCUGUCACUUAUAGAUGACCUUGCGGUGCAUUAGUUAGUUGGUGGGGUAACGGCCUACCAAGACGAUGAUGCAUAGCCGACCUGAGAGGGUGAUCGGCCACAUUGGGACUGAGACACGGCCCAAACUCCUACGGGAGGCAGCAGUAGGGAAUCUUCCGCAAUGGGCGAAAGCCUGACGGAGCAAUGCCGCGUGAGUGAAGAAGGCCUUCGGGUCGUAAAACUCUGUUAUAAGAGAAGAACAAAUUGUAGAGUAACUGCUACAGUCUUGACGGUAUCUUAUCUGAAAGCCACGGCUAACUACGUGCCAGCAGCCGCAGUAA